UCUGCAGGCCCUGGGCAGCCAUUCAAGGUUGGCACCCAAGACGGGGACAGAGCUGCAUUCUGGAAAGGUCUGUGGCCAGGAGUGUGAGAGGAUGGACUGACGUGGAGGCUGCCACAGGGAUGGAGGAGUCUUAGAACCUGCUCCACAUGAAGUCUGAGUAUUAUGUCGAGAUGCCAUCCAGGGGCUGAAUCAUGGGAAUCAGGGAAAGACAGACAGAUCCAUGAGGGCUUUCACCUGCUCGGCUGGGGAGCCCGUGCCGUGGCCCUGGCCGGCCUCCCUGCCGGUGUGCACCUCCUGCUUCCUCAUGGAGUCGGGGAUUACCUCCAGGAGCUGUGAAGAGACGGCCUGAACCUGCUGCCUGCAGUGCCAGCAGCCUGGGACAGGGGCCAAGAACAGUGCAGCCCGGACCUUCUUUGCCGUCCCAGCUGAGCCCACCGGCUGCCCCUGCGGGUCCUCACCUCUUCCUGUGCUGGGCUCCACCUCAGCCUUCCUUCCUGUCUGAUUUCAACAGCCAACAGCCUCGCAGACACAUCGAGGAGCCGCCGCCCCCAUUGCUCUGAGCACCCAGGAAGCUGCUGGAUGCUAGGAGGACACGAUGGCCCUCAAGAAGCCUACCUGAGGCUCCAGGCAAGCAGGGUGCAGACCCAGUGGCUGCCGCCUCAGCUGUGGGGAGCAGCAAAGGCGCCUGAAACCAGGCCGCUCACAGGAUGUUGGAAACCGCAGGG
This is a non-coding RNA of Saimiri boliviensis boliviensis (Bolivian squirrel monkey), 725 nucleotides long. Lineage: Eukaryota; Metazoa; Chordata; Mammalia; Primates; Cebidae. The record is from RefSeq and is a predicted model, not a curated record.